This is a small nucleolar RNA of Apodemus sylvaticus (European woodmouse), 132 nucleotides long. RefSeq annotates it as small nucleolar RNA SNORA17. The record is from RefSeq and is a predicted model, not a curated record. The transcript has a single exon. Lineage: Eukaryota; Metazoa; Chordata; Mammalia; Rodentia; Muridae.
CCUGCCCCUAGAGGCGUGGCAGGUGUGACUGCUGUGUCACAUGUGCGUCAGUAGAUGGCAGAGAAGAGAGGGGCUGCAUCUACUCUCUGGUUCUGACCUAUGAACACCUGAAUGGAUUAGUGGCCUAACAUU